Molecule: ribosomal RNA, 422 nt
Filed under: uncultured bacterium
Lineage: Bacteria
Description: partial 16S ribosomal RNA
Rfam family: Bacterial small subunit ribosomal RNA
Source: RNAcentral
GAAUAUUGGACAAUGGGGGCAACCCUGAUCCAGCCAUGCCGCGUGGGUGAAGAAGGCCUUUUGGUUGUAAAGCACUUUAAGCAGUGAAGAAGACUCCAUGGUUAAUACCCAUGGUAGAUGACAUUACCUGCAAAAUAAGCAACGGCAAACGCUGUGCGAGCAGCCGCGGUAAUACAGAGGGUGCAAGCGUUAAUCGGAAUUACUGGGCGUAAAGCGAGCGUAGGUGGCUUGAUAAGUCAGAUGUGAAAUCCCCGGGCUUAACCUGGGAACUGCAUCUGAUACUGUUAGGCUAGAAUAGGUGAGAGGAAGGUAGAAUUCCAGGUGUAGCGGUGAAAUGCGUAGAGAUCUGGAGGAAUACCGAUGGCGAAGGCAGCCUUCUGGCAUCAUAUUGACACUGAGGUUCGAAAGCGUGGGUAGCAAAC